GUGGGGAAUUUUGGACAAUGGGCGCAAGCCUGAUGGAGCAACACCGCGUGAGUGAAGAAGGGUUUCGGCUCGUAAAGCUCUGUUGUUAAAGAAGAACACGUAUGAGAGUAACUGUUCAUACGUUGACGGUAUUUAACCAGAAAGUCACGGCUAACUACGUGCCAGCAGCCGCGGUAAUACGUAGGUGGCAAGCGUUAUCCGGAUUUAUUGGGCGUAAAGAGAGUGCAGGCGGUUUUCUAAGUCUGAUGUGAAAGCCUUCGGCUUAAACGGAGAAGUGCAUCGGAAACUGGAUAACUUGAGUGCAGAAGAGGGUAGUGGAACUCCAUGUGUAGCGGUGGAAUGCGUAGAUAUAUGGAAGAACACCAGUGGCGAAGGCGGCUACCUGGUCUGCAACUGACGCUGAGACUCGAAAGCAUGGGUAGCGAACAGGAUUAGAAACCCCGGUAGUCC
RNAcentral lists this ribosomal RNA (450 nucleotides) under uncultured bacterium. RNAcentral's name for it is "partial 16S ribosomal RNA". It matches the Rfam family "Bacterial small subunit ribosomal RNA", at positions 354 to 796 of the family's 1533-position model. The record is from RNAcentral.